ACACGUAGGGGGCGAGCGUUGUCCGGAUUUAUUGGGCGUAAAGGGCGCGUAGGCGGCCUUGUAAGUCAGAUGUGAAAGAUCAUGGCUUAACUGUGGUAAGCAUUUGAAACUGCAGGGCUUGAGUACAGGAGAGGAGAGUGGAAUUCCUAGUGUAGCGGUGAAAUGCGUAGAUAUUAGGAGGAAUACCAGUGGCGAAGACGACUCUCUGGACUGAUACUGACGCUGAGGCACGAAAGCGUGGGGAGCAAACAGGAUUAGAUACCCUUGUAGUCCACGCUAUAAACGAUGAGUGCUAGGUGUCGGGGGUCAAACCUCGGUGCCGCAGUUAACACAUUAAGCACUCCGCCUGGGGAGUACGGCCGCAAGGCUGAAACUCAAAGGAAUUGACGGGG
This 392-nucleotide ribosomal RNA is filed under the name uncultured bacterium. Its description in RNAcentral is "partial 16S ribosomal RNA". It matches the Rfam family "Bacterial small subunit ribosomal RNA", at positions 523 to 918 of the family's 1533-position model. The record is from RNAcentral.